This 5191-nucleotide long non-coding RNA is filed under the name Medicago truncatula (barrel medic). RNAcentral's name for it is "long non-coding RNA (MTRU_LNC000296)". The record is from RNAcentral. Lineage: Eukaryota; Viridiplantae; Streptophyta; Magnoliopsida; Fabales; Fabaceae.
UUAUGAGAUAUCAGAACAAAAAUUGAAAUAAUAAUAAGAAUCAAGCAAUUAAAUGGAGUAUUGCUUGUCCACUGAUUUCAUUCAAUUCACUUAACAGAAAAAUACUGGAAAUGGCUAACAAGCCAGUACAAUGAACAGAAAGAUAAGGUAGAAUAGAGAAAAUAAGGAAAGAGAGAGAAAGUGAUAUCACACAAAAAUGCACACCACAUUCAUUCUACUACCACUACUUAAUAUCCCUUCAUUUACUAACAAACUGGGACCACAUUGGAUGACUCCCUUUGAUCCUGUAGCUACGUCUCAAUCCCUUCUUAUUUGCCAUGUCAUCAUUUGCACCACUUUUAUCAAUUGGGCCUUCCACACUCAUAACAUUACCCUCCCCUUCAAGAACAAUCUUGUCCUCAAGAUUGAGAUUGGGGUAGCUAUCCAACAUCUCUUGCUUGUCUUCCCAAGUAGCUUCACUGUUCUGCAUAUCCUUCCAUUUCACUAGCAGUUGCUCCACUUUUCGAUCUCCUCUGAUAAUGUUGCGUACGUUCAAUAUCACUUCCGGCUGUAUGACAGGACCUUCUUCCAUUGUGGUAAGUGGUAAAGGAAAAUAUGGCUCAGUAGUGAGACCCUUGAAGAUCUUCAAUUGGGACACAUGGAAGACCGGAUGAAUACGAGCUGUCUCAGGCAAUUGCAACUUAUAAGCUACUACUCCUACUUUGGCUAUCACAGUAAAUGGACCAAAGUACCUCAUGCCUAGUUUGUUGUUCUUUCUUAAUGCUACAGAAGACUGCCUGUAUGGUUGUAAUUUCACUAACACUUGAUCCCCUACUUCAAAAGACACAUCUUUUCUCUUUUUGUCAGCAUUGCUCUUCAUAACCUGUUGUGCUCUCAGUAAAUUUUCUUUUAACUCAACCAGUAGCUUGUCUCUGUCCAUUAACUGUUGUUGUACCUCUGUGGGAUCAGAAUUAUUAACACUAUAACGUGUUAACAUAGGGGGUUCCCUGCCAUAUAGUGCCUUAAAUGGAGACAUACCUAAACUAGUAUGUAAGAAAGUGUUAUACCAUAGUUCUACCCAAGUAAGUGCCUUAAACCAUGUCUUAGGAUUCUUGAAUGUGAAGCAUCUCAGGUACAUUUCGAGACAUUUAUUAACAGCUUCUGAUUGUCCAUCCGUUUGAGGAUGAUAAGUUGUGCUCAUGGACAAUGUUGUGCCUUGCAUUUGAAACAAAUGCUGCCAGAAUUUGCUGGUAAAUACCUUGUCUCUAUCAGAGAUAAUUGACUUAGGCAUUCCGUGUAAUUUUACUACAUAAUUCACAAAUGCCUCAGCAACAGUCCUAUUUGAAUAAUCAGCUUUCAAGGGCAUGAAAUGAGCAUAUUUACUCAGCCUAUCUACGACGACCAUAAUAACAGUAAAACCAAAAGAUAGUGGCAAUCCAGUAAUAAAAUCCAUAGUUACAUCAUCCCAUACCUGCUCUGGAAUAGGCAAUGGUUGAAGUAGCCCUGCAUAAGUUGUAUUAACAGAUUUAGCCUGCUGACAAGUGACACAUGCUUCAAUAAACUUCUGUAUAUGCUGCCUCAUAUUCGGCCAAUAAAAUUGGGCAGUAACUCUUGCUAAGGUUCUAGUCACCCCUGCAUGCCCUCCGAUUGGUGUAUCAUGGUAUUCCUUGAGAAUCUGAUGAAUCAAAUUACUCUCCAUAGGAAUUACCAACCUAUGCUUCCAGUACAAUAACCCUUCUUUCACCAUAUAAUUUAUGUCGUCCAUAGUAUUGUUUACGCACUGUUGUACUAUUGUUUGCAAGUGGGAGUCAUUGCCAAUUUCUUUCUUCAAUUGCUCUAAAAAAUCAUGUUCAGGUGCAGACCAUGAAAGAGACAUUACUCUUGACAGAGCAUCGGCUGCUUGAUUGUCCUUACCUGGUUUAUAUUCAAUUUGGAAAUCAAAUCCAAUGAAUUUGUGAAGCCAAGCUUGUUGUUCAGGGGUUUGUAGAGAUUGAUCCAACAAGCUUUUCAAACUUUUUUGAUCAGUUCUCAGUAUGAAUUUAUGUCCAAGGAGAUAGUGUCUGAACUUGGCUAAGGCAGUAGUGAUAGCAUAGAAUUCUCUGGUGUAAGCUGACUGAAGUUGCAUCCUAGAUGCCAUUUUUUUGGAGAAAUAAGCUAUGGGAUGACCUCCCUGACUUAGUACAGCUCCUACCCCUGUACCAGAGGCAUCUGUUUCCAACACAAAAGGUUGAGAGAAAUCAGGCAACACAAGCACCGGUGCUGUAGUAAUAGCUUGCUUCAAUGUGUCAAAAGCUUUGGCAGUACUUUCAUCCCACUUAAAUGCAUCUUUUUUUAACAAAUUUGUUAAAGGACCAGCUAUAGUAGCAUAAGAUCUGAUAAAUCUUCUAUAGUAGCCAGUGAGUCCCAAGAAUCCCCUUAAUUGUUUCAAAUUCGUUGGAGUAGGCCAUUCCAACACAGCUAUCACUUUAAUCUUGUCCAUUGCCACACCAGAACCAGACACCACAUGACCCAAAUAUUCAACUUCGGUUAUCCCAAAUGAGCAUUUAGAUAGCUUUGCAUACAACACAUUUUGGCUUAAUAUCUGAAAUACAAUUUCCACAUGUUUCAAGUGAGAAUGCCAAGAUGGACUGUAAACCAAAAUGUCAUCAAAAAAAACCAGAACACAUUUUCUCAACAGUGGUUGAAACAAUUGAUUCAUGAGUCUCUGAAAUGUAGCAGGGGCACUUGUGAGCCCAAAUGGCAUCACCAACCACUCAUAGUGACCUUGAUGAGUUCUGAAUGCUGUUUUCUGUCUAUCUUCAGGCUUGAGGAGAAUUUGAUGGUAUCCAGAACGCAAAUCCAACUUUGUAAAGUACUGUGCACCAUGUAAUUCAUCAAGUAGUUCAUCCACAGUGGGCAUAGGAAAACUGUCCUUGAUUGUUAUGGCGUUCAAAGCUCUAUAAUCUGUGCAACAUCUCCAUGUCCCAUCCUUCUUCUUUACUAGAAUGAUUGGUGAAGAAAAAGGACUCAAACUAGGUUGAAUAAUUCCUUCCUCUAACAUAUCCUGCACCAUUUUUUCGAUUUGUUCCUUUUGACUAUGCGGAUACCUAUAAGGCUUCACCUUCACUGGUUGUGCUCCUUCUUUCAACAAAAUCUCAUGGCUCAACUCUCUGUUAGGAGGUAAUCCUUUGGGUAUUUGAAAUAUCUCUCUAUAAGUAUGCAACAAGGUGGCCAUUUCUGGUUCAAUAUUCACUGGCAUUCCUUCCCAAUUAUCUUCUAUAACAGCAGGAUCAAUUUUUUGUAUGGUGAAUAACUCAGAAAUUGCAUUCAUGUGUUGUAGCCUUCUAAAAUGAUUCAAUUGGGACACUGCAGGUUUGUUGUCACUUUCCCCUUGCAACGUCACAAACUUGCCAUCCAUAUAAAACUUCAAUUUGGAUACAGAAUAAUCAGCUACAUGAGGCCCUAAAGAAGCCAACCAAGGAGCUCCUAGGAUCACAUCAGAUCCUGCUACGGGUAGCAAGUAAGCAGGGACUGUGAUGUCUAUGUCCUGCACUUUUAAUGACAGCUUUCUAACCACACCUUCUGCUUUCAUGUGUUGACCAUUACCAACCAGGACAUUGCAUUUGUCAGUAUGUUCAAUAGGUAAAUUGAGACAAUGAACAAUUCUAGGUUGAAUGAAACUCUCUGAACUACCUCCAUCAAGUAAAAUAGAUACACUAAUAGGACCAAUGUAUCCCUUGAAUCGAAUUACUCCCAUCCCCGUUGCUCCCUUCAAAGCAUUAAGGGAUAGAUGGUGCUCUGCUACUUCUUGUGUUUCUGUGUCACUGGUCACUGCUGUUUGGCUAGGUGUAUCAGGAGGAUCAAGGUCAUCAUCUAAUUCAAGUAGCAUCAAUUGUUUGUUAGGACACUUGUGAGAAAAUGAAAACUUAUCAUCGCAAAAAUAGCAUAGGCCCUUCUCUCUUCUCAAUUGCAUCUCUGCAGGUGAAAUUCUCUUAAUUGCAGGGUUCUUUUGAAGGUGGCUCAUAGGUCUCGUUGGUGGUGUAGGGAGUAAGGGUAGGUUGGGGGCUUUUUCAAUAGUUUGAUUUUGAUCGUUUCUGGUUGGAUUGAAGGGGGCUCGGUGUUGGUGAGGUUGGGCUGGUGUAUAUGGUUUUAAUGGUUGUUUUGGAUUGAAGUUAGCAGCAAUUUUCUCCUCAAACAGUUUUGCUAAUGACACAGCCUUAACAAUAGAAAUAGGAGUGUGAAGCAUGACAUCUCUGCGUAAUUCAUCUUUCAGUCCACUAACAAAACAAUCAAUUAAAGCAUCAUUGCUGAGACCAUAAACACGGUUAGAGAGAGCUGUAAAUUCCAGAUAAUACUCGUUAACAGAUUUGUUUUGUUGCAAUUUGAACAAAGAUGCUCUAGGACAAUCAUAUAUAGAAGGACCGAAAUCAAGUUCAAGAGCCCUAGUGAAAUCAUUCCAAGACUGAAAUGGGCGAGAUCUAUUCACCAUUUGAAACCAAGGAACUACUUCUUGUUCUAAAUGAACUGAAGCAAUAAUUAAUCUCUCUGCAUCUGGAGUAUUAUAGUAACCAAAAUAUUGCUCAGCUUUAAAAAUCCAAUCUAAGACAUGCUUACCAUUGAAUCUUGGAAACUCCAGCUUAAUAUGACGCACUUGAAACGGUUGAGAGCUCAUACUUGAGGUCGAUUGCUUUCCCACCACUGCUGAUUGAGUAUGACCCACAAAUGUUGACUGUGAACCUACAACUGUUGCAGAAAUCACACUAGAGCUUGAGCCUGAGUUCGUGUUUCCAUGGGAGACAUUGUGUUGUGGUGCUUGCUGCAUGAACCUCUCAAGUGUUGCAGAGAGUUGGUUGAAUCUCAGAUCUGAAGCUGUCUGCAUCGCCUCCAAUCGAUCGAAUCUCGCUUUGUUUUCGACGUUGGAUUUCUCUUGCGCUUCCGCUUGACGACGUAACUCGGUGGUCAAUUCCUUCAAUCUUGUGUUGUCGGCCAUGGAAAGAAUGAAAGCACCAAUGUUAUGAGAUAUCAGAACAAAAAUUGAAAUAAUAAUAAGAAUCAAGCAAUUAAAUGGAGUAUUGCUUGUCCACUGAUUUCAUUCAAUUCACUUAAUAGAAAAAUACUGGAAAUGGCUAACAAGCCAGUACAAUGAACAGAAAGAUAAGGUAGAAUAGAGAAAAUAAGGAAAGAGAGAGAAAGUGAUAUCACACAAAAAUGCACACCACAUUCAUUCUACUAC